Mus musculus (house mouse) is the source of this 678-nucleotide long non-coding RNA. RefSeq annotates it as predicted gene, 38907. The record is from RefSeq and is a predicted model, not a curated record. NCBI's taxonomy places the organism in Eukaryota, Metazoa, Chordata, Mammalia, Rodentia, Muridae. The transcript has 3 exons.
UAUGAUUAAAGCUUUUAACACAGGUUGAAUAUCCUGGAUUAUCUGGCUGGAGCCUAAAUGCAGUCCCAUAAUUCACAAGACGGUGGCAGUGGGAGACCUGAGGUACAGGAGCAGACAGCACUGUUUCCAUGAGGGCAGAUGCAAGAAUAGAGAUUGGAGUGAUGUUCCCACAAGCCACACACUGGUGGAAGCUAUCAGAAGCCACAAGAGAUGCAGAAAUAAGAUCAAAGAAGUGAAACAUCUGGCUCAGGAACAAGUGGGAAGGAAGUAUUACAGUAGAGUCCUGGGCAAUCCAGGGAAGGCUUCCCUGAAGAAGAGACACCCGGGCUGGGUCGGAGGCAUGACUAAACAGGGCACUAUGGAGAGGAGCAGCUCAAGCAGAGACGUGGCAUGGGCAUAGGUCCUGUGGCUGGAAGCAGACAGGAGAACUCAGGAGGCAGGGGAGGUACGCUAGUGCCACGCUCUGCUGAGGUAGUAGUUUCAACUCACUCAUUCCCUUAGUUGGUCUAGUUUGUUUUAUUUAGCAGUGAUAAACCAGGACAUUCACUGAGACAGUGAUGGCCAGAGAGUCUCAUGGUUUCCUAAAGCCCUUAGCCCACUGUCAGGCAUGUCUGAACACAUCCUUAGAGAAUUUCAGUUAUGCUGCAACUCAUGGUUCAAGUCUAGCCUCACCUUGGC